UGAUGUUUUUUAUUCUUAGCAGUGGGUGCAGGCCAAGGCCGGACUGUCUCCUGAACUCGCCGUUUAAUAGAUCCGGAGAUUGUAGGGAUGAGAGAGUGGGCAGAAACGGUUAAGGUAGGGGUGGUUGGGGCAGGGCUGGUUAAGGUAGGGGAGGUUGGGGCAGGGCUGGUUAAGGUAGGGAUGGUUGGGGCAGGGCUGGUUAAGGUAGGGGAGGUUGGGGCAGGGCUGGUUAAGGUAGGGGAGGUUGGGGCAGUUUGUGAAGGCUGGGUGGAAUGGGUUGUGAUUACCGGUAAUGGGAAUGGGGAAAAUAAGAAAUCAAAGUGUGGUGCAGUAGGUGAUAUUAAUGUGAGGGGACUGGACAUGGAGGCUGAUGGUGUUCCCAGAGGAAGGGUGGGGGAGGCACUGGCAGUUCUUGAACUCACAGGCGUCUGGUGUUCUAGGGCGACUGACCCGGAGACAGAGAGCUGCCGAAGCACCUCCCGGGCCUCCCCUUCCCCCAGGCGAUCCUUCUCCAGCUGAAGGCGCUCCCUCUCCACCUGCAGGCGCUCUGUCUCCACCUUCAAGCGCUCUCUAUCCAGCUGGAGCCGGUUCUUCUCCACAUCCAGGUGUGCCUUCUGUGUUUCAUGUGCUUUUUGUAAUAAAUCAUAAAGAGCUUGGUGGAUGUGUUGGGCGGUCUGUGUAACAUGGAUUUGUUGUGUUUGUGUGUCCAGGAUUUGUUGGAACAGAGUGGCUUGGGGGCCCUGUGGUAUCCAGCCAGACGUGAUGGGUUGGGGUGUAGAGCCAGAGUGGAUGGAGUGAGCUGGUGCAGGACAGUAGGUGAUGUGUUGGGGUGUAGAGCCAGAGUGAGAUGGUGCAGGACAGGAGGUGAUGGGUUGGGGUGUAGAGCCAGAGUGGAUGGAGUGAGAUGGUACAGGACAGGCGGUGAUGGGUUGGGGUGUAGAGCCAGAGUGAGCUGGUGCAGGACAGGAGGUGAUGGGUUGGGGUGUAGAGCCAGAGUGAGCUGGUGCAGGACAGGAGGUGAUGGUUUGGGGUGUAGAGCCAGAGUGGAUGGAUUGAGAUGGUGCAGGACGGGAGGUGAUGGGUUGGGGUGUAAAGCCAGAGUGAGAUGGUGCAGGACGGGAGGUGAUGGGUUGGGGUGGCACUGUUGGUGCUGGCCAAGGUGUAGAUGGCGAG
Molecule: long non-coding RNA, 1173 nt
Filed under: Salmo salar (Atlantic salmon)
Lineage: Eukaryota; Metazoa; Chordata; Actinopteri; Salmoniformes; Salmonidae
Description: lncRNA (ENSSSAG00000091337.1, ENSSSAG00000092164.1)
Source: RNAcentral